UACGAAGGGGGCUAGCGUUGCUCGGAAUCACUGGGCGUAAAGCGCACGUAGGCGGAUUGUUAAGUCAGGGGUGAAAUCCUGGAGCUCAACUCCAGAACUGCCUUUGAUACUGGCGAUCUCGAGUCCGGGAGAGGUGGGUGGAACUGCGAGUGUAGAGGUGAAAUUCGUAGAUAUUCGCAAGAACACCAGUGGCGAAGGCGGCUCACUGGCCCGGUACUGACGCUGAGACGCGAAAGCGUGGGGAGCAAACAGG
RNAcentral lists this ribosomal RNA (253 nucleotides) under uncultured bacterium. RNAcentral's name for it is "partial 16S ribosomal RNA". It matches the Rfam family "Bacterial small subunit ribosomal RNA", at positions 524 to 776 of the family's 1533-position model. The record is from RNAcentral.